UAGCCGUAAACGAUACUCGCUAGGUGUCGGCCACGGUGCGACCGUUGUCGGUGCCGUAGGGAAGCCGUGAAGCGAGCCACCUGGGAAGUACGGCCGCAAGGCUGAAACUUAAAGGAAUUGGCGGGGGAGCACAACAACGGGUGGAGCUUGCGGUUUAAUUGGAUUCAACGCCGGAAAUCUUACCGGGACGACAGCAACAUGAAGGCCAAGCUGAAGACUUUGCCGGAUUAGCUGAGAGGAGGUGCAUGGCGUAGUCGUGU
RNAcentral lists this ribosomal RNA (260 nucleotides) under uncultured archaeon. RNAcentral's name for it is "partial 16S ribosomal RNA". It matches the Rfam family "Archaeal small subunit ribosomal RNA", at positions 748 to 1009 of the family's 1478-position model. The record is from RNAcentral.